RNAcentral lists this long non-coding RNA (810 nucleotides) under Actinidia chinensis (golden kiwifruit). Its description in RNAcentral is "long non-coding RNA (ACHI_LNC004702)". The record is from RNAcentral. Lineage: Eukaryota; Viridiplantae; Streptophyta; Magnoliopsida; Ericales; Actinidiaceae.
CAAUUUUACAAAAGAAUAAUCCCUGGAAAGGUAUGUAAUCUCAACAGACCAACACUUGUCAGAACAAAAAAAGGUAUGAAAUCUCAACAAACCAACAAUUGUCAGAACAAAAAAAAGGUAUGUAAUCUCAACAAACCAACACUUGCCAGAACAAAAAAAGGUAUGAAAUCUCAACAAACCAACACUUGGUCAAAAAUAGUUACAACUCACUGAGUCUCAAACUCUUUCUUCAACCAACAACAAAGCUUCAAGUUGCUCUCUACGCUGCUCCAACUCCUGCAAUUGACAAGACUAGGGAUUUAUGGUGCUAUUCCGAAGAAAAUCAACAUAUUUACAACUGAUAUAAAUAGAAAACAAGUCCCAAAAACCGCUUGGUUACAGCAAAUCCUAAGAUCGAUAUCAAUUUAAAAUGAUGUUUAGAAUCCAACAGUGAAUAUGAGCUAGCCACAAGAACGUAACACGAACAUUCUGCUAGCUAUGCAUGCAUUAGGUACUCCCACUGAUCAACACCCAACUCAACUUUAAUGUUUACGAAAAACUGUAACCAUAUUACAGUUCAGUCCACCAAGAGAAUGCUGUAGAACCAAGUCUGAAAUUGAUCUUAUUUUUAGAUUCAAACAUCAAUCAUGACCAAUUCAGAUGAUUAUGGACCAUCUGAAUUUGGAGUGCAAUUCUAGUCGAAUGGAUCAAAUAUAAACAAAGAAAAGAAAGGAGAAAAAACGUAAUUGUUCCAUAAGAAUCAGAGUGCCCUGCUUCUAUUUGAAGGUAAUAAGACCAAGAAGAAGAAGUUUGAGUUCUCAAGAUGUUGCU